Long non-coding RNA from Megalopta genalis, 725 nucleotides. RefSeq lists it as uncharacterized. Lineage: Eukaryota; Metazoa; Arthropoda; Insecta; Hymenoptera; Halictidae. The record is from RefSeq and is a predicted model, not a curated record.
CUUUCUCUCUUCAUAGAUCUUAAAUUGUUCAAACUGUGUGGGAAUAAAUGCUUUUGUCUUUGCAAGCUUCUCAUCUUUAUAAAUUUCCUGCUAAAAAAGGAGCAAGACAGGUUCAUUCUAUAUUUUUUACGAGAAACUACGAUAAUUAUUAAAGGAUGAAGGAGAGAAACGAUGACUAUCUGAGUAGAAAAAACGCGGGAGCCAAGUCUAUUGUCCAUACAUGGCAGAUCUAAUUUUGAAGCUCCAAGCAACCGAACAAACUUCAGUUGCCGUUUGAUUUCAAACAAACGUAACUUUAACAGCUGGCGAUACGUUAGAAGCGUUGCUCGAAUAGACCAAUGAGAGGAGCAUGUCUUUCAUAAACUGUGAGAACACCAAUCAGAUAUAAAAAUGUAAACCGAUAACUGAGAAGUUCAUAUUAUUCAUUAACAAUUGUUUAUUCGGCGUUAUAAUUGUAUAUUUACGGCGGUUUUAAAUAAUAUUUACGAUAUAAAUAUAUGAUAUAAUAUAAUAAAUAUUUUUAUAAUUAUUUAAUAAUUAUAUAUAAUAAUAAUAUAUUUUAAAUAUGAACAUGCAGAUAAGUAUGUACAUAAGUACACAGUGCAUCAUUCAUUGUGAUACAAUCACACCAGACACGGAAGAGAGAGAAACAUGUAUCUAUCGACAAACAUAUUUAACUUUAAUGAAUGUCUCAUUUUAAUACAAUAAUGUGAUUUACUACUCCU